UGAGUUCGCCGGACAGUCGUCGCUGCGCUUGCGCAGGGGAGGAAAGUCCGGGCUCCAUAGGGCGGAGUGCCAGAUAACGUCUGGGCGGCGCAAGCCGACGGCCAGUGCAACAGAGAGUAGACCGCCUAAGCAUGGAGUUCUUCGGAGCUGCAUGACGGUAAGGGUGAAAGGGUGCGGUAAGAGCGCACCGCGUGGGUGGCAACAUUCCACGGCACGGUAAACCCCACUCGGAGCAAGACCAAAUAGGGACCCACUAGGCGCGGCCCGCGCUGGGUCCGGGUAGGUCGCUAAAGGUGUAUGGUGACAUGCAUCGUAGAUGAAUGACUGUCCUCGACAGAACCCGGCUUACAGGCGAGCUCAUCCA
Molecule: RNase P RNA, 364 nt
Filed under: Marinobacterium aestuarii
Lineage: Bacteria; Pseudomonadati; Pseudomonadota; Gammaproteobacteria; Oceanospirillales; Oceanospirillaceae
Description: Marinobacterium sp. ST58-10 Bacterial RNase P class A
Rfam family: Bacterial RNase P class A
About the family: Ribonuclease P (RNase P) is a ubiquitous endoribonuclease, found in archaea, bacteria and eukarya as well as chloroplasts and mitochondria.
Source: Rfam by way of RNAcentral